UUACUUAAAACAAAGCCUUGUUAAAUGGGAAUCAGCAAACAAAUCCAAAAUUAGCUUUCCAAAUGUUAAUUAACAAAUACUAGUAAUGCCAUGCUGUAUGUAUGUAUGUAUGUACCCGAUCAUCUCAAACACAUCCAUUCAGCUUUCAGCUGUGUCAUAUACUACUAUUCUUUCAACACCUUUGUCUAUAUUGGAAAGAGCCCCAUCAAUAAAUAGCUGACCAAAGACAAGGAUUCUGGGAACGAUGAAUAAACAUUGCUUCACCUCUGGCCAUAUUUCACAUCUAUUGCUCUCAUCCUUGCUUCAUUCGACUUUCGUUACGUGUGUGUACGUGUGUGUGUGUCUAACAGCUGAGGCAUUACUACCUAUACAUUUCACAUUUCACCGACCUCACCUCUUUUUCUUUCCUUGGUAGGAGGGAUAUCUCAGAGAUUUCAGCUCUGGCCGCUGCUAGCUUGUAGCAUUUCCACAAUUAAGGUUUUCACAUCCCUCAAGACAACAAGGAACCAAUGCAUCAUUUAGUUGUGAAGUUCAACAUUGGACUGGUUUUAACAGAAUGGAAACCAUUGAAAAAGAGUGAAAAAAAAUACUCACUUUCUAUCUUCUGCACGCCUAGGGAAAGGAAUUCUGAGCUUGUAAGUCUUACCCUGAUAAAUAGCCUAUGCAUAAACAUUCAAAAGUCAAAAUCAUAAAACUGGAGGGGAGUGUCAGGAAGUUUGUAUCGAGUGUUAGAAUACUCUUUUCAUCUAGACGUAGUAGGGACAAGUAGGUCAGCAAUGUGGUUUGGAGUUGCUCAUACCUUGACAUUGAAUCCAAAACUAUCCACAUCUAGCAUAUAAGCGGAAUCCACCUGAACAGAGGUUUAUGGGUUUCAGAAACAAAGAAUAUGAACAUAAGUACCUCGUACACAUGUUUAUUAACCUAAUUCAGUAAGGAAAAGAUAAUCAUUGACGAACAAGGCAGUUGUCAUGUAUCUCUGCUAAAAUUAGCAGGAAAACUGUUCUUCACCAUGAUGGGUCAACACUUAAGACGUCUGCAUGAAUUAUGUGCGAAUACUUGGUGAGAGUGAGACACAUGUACAUGCAGUGCCGUGUAACUUUCAUUUUAUUCCCUAAGUGCAAAGAUACGAGCUGCCUGGGGAAACUGGUAACUGAAUAAUACUAGGAAAAAAAAUUCUCUGGUUGAUUUUCAACAUACAGAAAUGAGAAGCAGUGAACAGAGAGAAGUACCGGAAUUGAAGUUGAGUGUUUUACAAUCAGUUUUGUAUCUUCACCAUGAUCUCUGUUCAUGUGGGACUGAAAUAGUACAUAGAUUUGAUUUGGAGGAUGCGACAAAAAGGGUAUAGAUAGUCUGGAAGAAAAAAAUAAAAUGUAUGUACUUCAAGUGCAAAACAUACUGUAAUAGGCUUUGCAAAUUGGGAUAUAGGAUCCACUUUUGCAGAUUGAAACUCGUCUUUGGUAAACUCUGAAGUUGUUUGAGCACAAGAGGCAAACACAAAAGUGUUAACUUGUUAGGAAAUCCAGUAUUAACAACGUGCCAAUAAAAAUUGAAAUGGUUCAUAAGAAGGACAAGCUGGAUGGCACACAGACCUCCAGACUGAAGCAAUGCAGUUGCAACUCCCGACACAUAUCGCACUACCUUUGGCUCAAUCCUUAAAAAUUGGAAGUCCCCAAAGUCAACCUUCAAACAAGAAGUGCCGAGUCAGUGACCAACUUCAUAGUGACCAACAACAAAGGCCACAAGGGCAAAGAUGUUACCCAGAAUGCAUUAGGAUGUUUGGCCAAAUAUGCAGUUCUUGUGGUAGCUGUAUCUUGCUUAGAGACCUGAAAAUAGCUUCAAUUACUUAACCUCCGAACAGUAUUUAGCAAUGAAAACUGUUACUGAAGGAUGUCAACAUAAGAAGACCACAGGAGUAAAAGAAGUUACAGGAAUAGCAUCCCCAUGCACAGUGAUAACCAGAUCAUUCCUGUCCUCGGGAUCUCUAGCAACAAGCAAGGAGCACUUUGGAUUAGCUGACAGGUCCUGUACAUAGAAGAAGCUAGUGAUCAGAAAACCAACGCUCAGAAGAUAACAGCAAUCUAUUCACUCCAUGCGGCAGUGCACCCAACAAGACUUGCCGAUCAAAAAGAUCAUAAUCCCGUAAUAUAAUCAAACAAUUGAAGGAUUCAUUUAUUGGUUAGCAAUACCGACCUUAGAAUGAACUGACAAGGAACUGACAGCCAAGAUUAUAGACCCAUCUACAUCAGAUGCAAAAUCAAGCAUCGAUCCAGACGGAUAACCAUCGUAUUUCUGCGAACAUUCAAAGGAUAACGAUCACAUAUUCAAGUCAGAUACCAUUUCGUUUGUUUCAAGUCAUCCAAAAUCAACAUCGAGUUAGAGCAGAAUGGAAACCUGAGAGAAGGUUGAGAGCAUGCCACGCACACUAUGGCUAAGGACUGUCCUGAUUUCCUCAACAGGGGGAAGCCGAGCAGCAUUUUCCUAAACUUACACGAAACAAAAUCCAGGAUUCAAUACGCCAAAACAACUCCCACUUGAAAUUGAUCAUCAAUCGCACAUAAACAUAUAUUAAUUAGAAGGAAACACAGAAACCCUACCUGGUGAGUUUUUAUCAACAUUAAAAGAUUCUCCUCGCCGCCAAUUCCCCCAGCAGAUGCAGCCUGGUGAUCAUGAGAAAAAAACAACAAUCAAAUUCCUAGACUUGGCAAGUAUUUCGAAGAAGAAAAGUGACGGAGGGGGAAGAGAUAUGGAUUGUGGUGCUGACCUUAGGAGGAGAGGAGGACUGAGGUGGAGCUGCAGACAUAGCGAGAGAUCGACGAGUAGAAGAAGGAGAGAAGGAGAAGGAAGAAGAGAGAACAGAGGGGAAUGAUGGAAAGGAGAUGUAUGGUUGGAGAAACUGAGAGGUGAAAUGAAGCCUGGUUGACGCUACUGCAGCUGCCCUCAUUGUGCAACAACUAGCCGAUGCCAUCAUCUACUGGCAGGAUCCCUCAUCAAAAUAAAAUCAUCCAGAUUCCCUGUUAAUACCAUUCUCCACCCAGAUUCCCUGUUACUCACACAAAGCCAAAGCAAACCAAAGAACAAAAGUUGAACUUCCAUUACUUAAAACAAAGCCUUGUUAAAUGGGAAUCAGCAAACAAAUCCAAAAUUAGCUUUCCAAAUGUUAAUUAACAAAUACUAGUAAUGCCAUGCUGUAUGUAUGUAUGUAUGUACCCGAUCAUCUCAAACACAUCCAUUCAGCUUUCAGCUGUGUCAUAUACUACUAUUCUUUCAACACCUUUGUCUAUAUUGGAAAGAGCCCCAUCAAUAAAUAGCUGACCAAAGACAAGGAUUCUGGGAACGAUGAAUAAACAUUGCUUCACCUCUGGCCAUAUUUCACAUCUAUUGCUCUCAUCCUUGCUUCAUUCGACUUUCGUUACGUGUGUGUACGUGUGUGUGUGUCUAACAGCUGAGGCAUUACUACCUAUACAUUUCACAUUUCACCGACCUCACCUCUUUUUCUUUCCUUGGUAGGAGGGAUAUCUCAGAGAUUUCAGCUCUGGCCGCUGCUAGCUUGUAGCAUUUCCACAAUUAAGGUUUUCACAUCCCUCAAGACAACAAGGAACCAAUGCAUCAUUUAGUUGUGAAGUUCAACAUUGGACUGGUUUUAACAGAAUGGAAACCAUUGAAAAAGAGUGAAAAAAAAUACUCACUUUCUAUCUUCUGCACGCCUAGGGAAAGGAAUUCUGAGCUUGUAAGUCUUACCCUGAUAAAUAGCCUAUGCAUAAACAUUCAAAAGUCAAAAUCAUAAAACUGGAGGGGAGUGUCAGGAAGUUUGUAUCGAGUGUUAGAAUACUCUUUUCAUCUAGACGUAGUAGGGACAAGUAGGUCAGCAAUGUGGUUUGGAGUUGCUC
Molecule: long non-coding RNA, 3887 nt
Filed under: Linum usitatissimum (flax)
Lineage: Eukaryota; Viridiplantae; Streptophyta; Magnoliopsida; Malpighiales; Linaceae
Description: long non-coding RNA (LUSI_LNC005192)
Source: RNAcentral